UAGGGAAUCUUCGGCAAUGGACGGAAGUCUGACCGAGCAACGCCGCGUGAGUGAAGAAGGUUUUCGGAUCGUAAAGCUCUGUUGUAAGAGAAGAACGAGUGUGAGAGUGGAAAGUUCACGCUGUGACGGUAUCUUACCAGAAAGGGACGGCUAACUACGUGCCAGCAGCCGCGGUAAUACGUAGGUCCCGAGCGUUGUCCGGAUUUAUUGGGCGUAAAGCGAGCGCAGGCGGUUAGAUAAGUCUGAAGUUAAAGGCUGUGGCUUAACCAUAGUACGCUUUGGAAACUGUUUAACUUGAGUGCAAGAGGGGAGAGUGGAAUUCCAUGUGUAGCGGUGAAAUGCGUAGAUAUAUGGAGGAACACCGGUGGCGAAAGCGGCUCUCUGGCUUGUAACUGACGCUGAGGCUCGAAAGCGUGGGGAGCAAACAGGAUUAGAUACCCUGGUAGUCCACGCCGUAACGAUGAGUGCUAGGUGUUAGACCCUUUCCGGGGUUUAGUGCCGCAGCUAACGCAUUAAGCACUCCGCCUGGGGAGUACGACCGCAAGGUUG
Molecule: ribosomal RNA, 549 nt
Filed under: uncultured bacterium
Lineage: Bacteria
Description: bacterial SSU rRNA
Rfam family: Bacterial small subunit ribosomal RNA
Source: RNAcentral